UUGUUUAGGAGAAAGUCGUAACAAGGUUUCCGUAGGUGAACCUGCGGAAGGAUCAUUG
Molecule: ribosomal RNA, 58 nt
Filed under: Oxytropis kansuensis
Lineage: Eukaryota; Viridiplantae; Streptophyta; Magnoliopsida; Fabales; Fabaceae
Description: partial 18S ribosomal RNA
Rfam family: Eukaryotic small subunit ribosomal RNA
Source: RNAcentral